AGCUUCCUUCUGCAUCGCAUCCAAAAUCAGCUAUCCACUUGUGAUUAGUGGCCCAUGAGUCUCCAACAGAUUUCAGAACAUUGUAAAGGUCAGUGUGUGGGGUACAACAAUGGGAUAAAGCUUGUGAAGAUCCUCCACAGUUCCUAUCACCAGCUGCCAGAACAUGUAAAACAGGAAAAGUUCAAGAAAUGAAAAUGCAGUUUCAGAUCAGGAGCCUUUCUGGCACUACUAUAAACAAGUAGAAGUAUACCUCAUUCAUGGGACCAGCUUCAUCAUAUGGAGGAAAUCCAAUGAUGUCUCUAAAGGUCAUCACCUUCUUUCUCAGCUCCAUCAUCAUCAUCAAGUUUCCUGUCAACCCACAUGACUCAUCUAUCAUCAUGCCUGCCACAUUCUUCUGAUUCUUGGUUAGAUCUGCACUUCUUGCCUGCAACAGAAACUCUUUUCUAGUCAACAUUGUUAAUCUCAACUAUGAUAAAUCCAUGGAAAUUUUUACUCUUGAGGAAGCUAACUGCAUAUUGUCAUACAUAUUCUCUGUUUUUCCAGAAAUCCAAUGAACAGUGUAGUAAAACUACAUUUUUUUAGGUUGGAACAUAAUGCUUCUAAUCAUUUCCUAAUUGCAAAGGAACUGAUACAUUAUAUGGCUUUAGAAUAUUUCUCUGGCAUUGAUUUCCCUGGAAAGGAAGCCCAAGUAAAUCAUUUUGACAUCAUAAUUGUGCUUUUUCAGUAAUGCAGAUAAUAUUGUUAUAAAUUACAUAGCUCUGUGUUUAUCAAUAGGUAAAUGUGUGUUUGCAUGUCUGGUCAUUUUUUGUAAUGCAGAAAUAACGUUGUAAAUUACAUGGCUAUGGUUUUUUUUAUCAAUGAGUGAGUGAUCGGUUUGAUUCCAUUAUAGGGGGAGAGAAAAUUUUGGCUUGAUAAGGAAAGGUUCUUAACCAUGCUCUGUAUUUAGAGGAUUUUUAUGUUUGAAAUGCUUUCAUGUACAUGGUUUUAUAUGCCAUGUCAAAGGAGAAAAGAAGUGAGAACAUGAUGCCAACAACAUUUUCCUUUCAUAUUCAAGAUGACAAAUUGUGCAGUUACAGGUAGUACCUGGAAUACGCUUGAAUUGCCUUUGGUCGGCAGUGCAGACACGCCUAGUAACCCAGAUUCCAUCCAAAUCCCUAAUGCUGCCUUUUAAUCAAACUUUGCUGAGGAAGAUGAUGUCUGAAUUCGAAUCUCUUUACCAUAUACCUCUUGAGCCUUAGGCUGAAGGAAUUGGAAUAGCGAUAUAUUCUAAUAAAUGGCUGCUUGUGUUGUGCUUCUUAACAGGGAAUUUACAUAUGUACUAGAGAGAAAGCCAUUGAAGGUCCAAAGAUGAGAAGAAGAUGAUUGAAAGGAAUUGCAGGGACAAAGCCAAAGUUCAAGGAAAAUGGAAGGUUCAAGAGAGACAAGAGCAGCAAGCAACAGCAGCAGCAGCAAUGCCUCCGCUUCCUCCUCCUCCUCUGGAGGGCCAAACUGCAAGGGGAACCUCUCACCGGCUAGUUUUUUCUGCUUCUGGUUUGAACCUAUAAUGGCUAAUUCAUUCCUCUCCUUCAAUUUAGGAAUUGGUGGGUUGAAAGUCUGCCACUUGUUUGUGAAUUGGAAGCAAAUUAACUGCUAACAUGGCAAUUUGUUUGUUUAAUAUCACAAACUCAGAUUUAUUUUUCA
Molecule: long non-coding RNA, 1680 nt
Organism: Vitis riparia (riverbank grape)
Lineage: Eukaryota; Viridiplantae; Streptophyta; Magnoliopsida; Vitales; Vitaceae
Exons: 2
Source: RefSeq, a predicted model, not a curated record